Molecule: long non-coding RNA, 309 nt
Filed under: Trifolium pratense (red clover)
Lineage: Eukaryota; Viridiplantae; Streptophyta; Magnoliopsida; Fabales; Fabaceae
Description: long non-coding RNA (TPRA_LNC012416)
Source: RNAcentral
UUACAUCCAUAAAAUAUUGUUUGUUAAAACUUAAAAUGAUGUUGAUUGUAACAAAAAAAAAAAUGAUGAUGUUGAAACGACGACGUUUCCAGUCUCUGAAAAACGGUCCAUGAACGUCUUCAUCCUCUUGCGAAACCUGAAACGAAGCAAAUAGCAGAGAGAUAGAUACUAUAGAAUUCCGUGAAGAAGUGCAUUCCAAUUUCGAAACCUCUCUGUUAAUAAUAGUCCCAAUUAUAUAAUAAACCCUAAAUCCAUUUCAUGCUCCAUUUCUAUAUCCGCUUCCCAAUUUCAUAACGCUGACUUUAACAA